GACGAACGCUGGCGGCGUGCUUAACACAUGCAAGUCGAACGGAAAGGCCCUGCUUUUGUGGGGUGCUCGAGUGGCGAACGGGUGAGUAACACGUGAGUAACCUGCCCUUGACUUUGGGAUAACUUCAGGAAACUGGGGCUAAUACCGGAUAGGAGCUCCUGCUGCAUGGUGGGGGUUGGAAAGUUUCGGCGGUUGGGGAUGGACUCGCGGCUUAUCAGCUUGUUGGUGGGGUAGUGGCUUACCAAGGCUUUGACGGGUAGCCGGCCUGAGAGGGUGACCGGCCACAUUGGGACGGAGAUACGGCCCAGACUCCGACGGGAGGCAGCAGUGGGGAAUAUUGCACAAUGGGCGGAAGCCUGAUGCAGCAACGCCGCGUGCAGGAUGACGGCCUUCGGGUUGUAAACCGCUUUCGCCUGUGACGAAGCGUGAGUGACGGUAAUGGGUAAAGAAGCACCGGCUAACUACGUG
This 468-nucleotide ribosomal RNA is filed under the name uncultured bacterium. RNAcentral describes it as "partial 16S ribosomal RNA". It matches the Rfam family "Bacterial small subunit ribosomal RNA", at positions 28 to 507 of the family's 1533-position model. The record is from RNAcentral.